Long non-coding RNA from Balaenoptera acutorostrata (minke whale), 409 nucleotides. RefSeq lists it as uncharacterized. The transcript is spliced from 3 exons. The record is from RefSeq and is a predicted model, not a curated record. Lineage: Eukaryota; Metazoa; Chordata; Mammalia; Artiodactyla; Balaenopteridae.
UGAUGAUGGAGUAAUGUGUCUACAAGCGAAAGAAUGCCAGGAAUUGCCAGCAACCACCAGAAGGAGAGCCGUAUGGAACAGAUUCUCCCUCAGAGCCUCCAGAAGGAACCAACCCUGCCAACACCUUGAUUUUGGACUUCUAGCCUCCAGAACUGACUCACAAGUUUAGAAGAAUAUCAGUUGCAGCUGAAAACUAUUAAAAAUAAAGGGGAUUAAUUGGCUCAUACAAGUGGAAAGUCCUCGGACUUCAGCUUUGAUUCAGCAGGUCCUUGACAUGAUCACUAAAGGAACAGAAGAUUCUCAAAAUAUGCUGCUGCAAAAGCUGGUAUAUUGUCUGGUUGCUCCCUCAGAAUCUCACGUGUGAGCCCUUCAAGAAGAUUCCCAAAUCCUUGUGGAAUUCGGUAGUGGG